UACGUAGGGGGCUAGCGUUGUCCGGAAUCAUUGGGCGUAAAGCGCGUGUAGGCGGUCCGGUAAGUCCGCUGUGAAAGUCGGGGGCUCAACCCUCGAAUGCCGGUGGAUACUGUCGGGCUCGAGUGCGGGAGAGGCGAGUGGAAUUCCUGGUGUAGCGGUGAAAUGCGCAGAUAUCAGGAGGAACACCGAUUGCGAAGGCAGCUCGCUGGAACGUUACUGACGCUGAGACGCGAAAGCGUGGGGAGCAAACAGG
This 253-nucleotide ribosomal RNA is filed under the name uncultured bacterium. RNAcentral's name for it is "partial 16S ribosomal RNA". It matches the Rfam family "Bacterial small subunit ribosomal RNA", at positions 524 to 776 of the family's 1533-position model. The record is from RNAcentral.